Molecule: long non-coding RNA, 2289 nt
Filed under: Homo sapiens (human)
Lineage: Eukaryota; Metazoa; Chordata; Mammalia; Primates; Hominidae
Description: HSALNT0212041
Source: RNAcentral
AAGACAUUCACUACACCAGAGGAGACAAAGGAAGCACGUUGCUGUUAUUGCUGUUCAUGGCCUUCUUCCAACAGUAAGGGAAGCUAGUUUGAAGAUAAACUGUACAAAGGAAAGUAAAACAAGAGAAGUGCAGCGAAAUGGUGCCGGAGCCGUGAUGCAGCUACAACCUAGAGUUCUCACAAUCUCUUAAUUUCCUGCUGUCGGCGAUAAAUGUGAUCAUUUUGGCCGAUUUGGUUCAGUUUUUCUGUUCCGUGAAGCUGAAAGCAUCCUGACACAGGUAGCUGGACAGUACUGGACCCAUCACAAUUUCAAUACUGGGAAGAGAAAAGCCAGUCCUCUGGGGAAAGAUGAAGCACUGGACCUACAAACUAACUACUUUCAACCCCUGGAUGAAUCUAGGAGCAGAUUAGUCCCGAUAUCAAGGCAAUGUCAAGAGUGAAGGGGAGGAUCAAGAUUUUUUUUGAGUGAUUGUUUCCUGGAAGGUACCAUUCAAUUGUCAGGAAUAUAGCCGGGAACAAAGGAAAAAAUACCUGCCUUCAUAGAUCAUAAAUUCUGGAGGAACAGAUUAAUAAAUAACAAAUGAAUUUACACUAUAAAAUCAGGCACACAUUGUGAAGGAAUUUGCUUUAGGCUUGAGACGGAGAAAAGGUACCUACUUUCCCAGACUCCUUGCAGUUGGAAUUUGCCAUGUGACCCACUUUUGGCAAUAGAGAGGAGAAAAAAAAAUAACAAGAAAAUGACCAUGGAAAGUAACAACAACUGAAAACGGAUAAAAUGAAGAUGUGUGAAAGAGCACAAGAGUGCAAAACCAAAAGUAUACAAGGAGUGUUUAUGCAGUAACCACUUUAGAAUGCCUUUCCUCAUGUUUGAAGACUUCUAAACUAGGGCAAGGACAGAUCCCAGCAACUACUGGAAGCAUAAUAAAGGAGAAGAAUGAGGCAUUUUCUUCUCUCAUAUACAGAUUAUAUGUAAUUAGGAUGCUAAGGAUAAUUUUGUAACAUAAAAACGGAGAUGCUAAGGAGAAUGGUUUCACCCUAGUUUAUAGAAGGAGGGUAUACUAUGGUCUAUCAAAGACUGAAAAUUGUCCUCUGCUAAUAAAGUCUCAAAUCAGGGCAAUUGGAUUUCUUUCUUUUUUUUUUUUUAUUAUACUUUAAGUUUUAGGGUACAUGUGCACAAUGUGAAGGUUUGUUACAUAUGUAUACAUGUUCCAUGUUGGUGUGCUGCACCCAUUAACUCAUCAUUUACAUUAGGUAUAUCUCCUAAUGCUAUCCCUCCCCACUCUCCCAGCCCCACAACAGGUCCUGGUGUGUGAUGUUCUCCUUCCUGUGUCCAUGUGUUCAAUUCCCACCUAUGAGUUGAGUUAGAGUUACUAGUCUCAAAUAAAUGCUUGGUAAUGCCAUACAAUCUAAACAUGUUGUCACUGUCAACUCACUAUCUCAUAUUCUGCAAUGAUACCCUUCUAUAUUCUGAAAUUCCUUCCCCAUUCUCAGCAGAUAGCCUCAGAUCAUAUAUCAUACACACAAUUGAACAUAUCACAUAGAAAUUUCAUCAGCUCACUGCCUCCAAUCCAAUGAACCUAACAUCUACUAACAUCAACACCAUCCAGGAAACCAUGACCUCACCAGAUGAACUAAAUAAGGCACCAGGGAAAAAUACCAGUGAAACAGAGACAUGUGACCUUUCAGACAGAUAAUUCAAAAUAGCUGUGUUGAGGAAACUCAAAUUCAAGAUGAUACAGAGAAGGAAUUCAGAAUUAGAUAAAUUUAACAAAGAGAUUGAAAUAAUUAAGAAUCAAGCAGAAAUUCUGGAGCUGAAAAACGCAACUGGCGUAUUGAGAAAUGCACCAGAGUCUCUUAAUAGCAGAACUGAUCAAGCAGAAGAAUGAAUUAGUGAUGUUGAAGACAGACUAUUGGAAAUGCACAGUCAGAAGAGAAAAAAGAAAAAACAAUGAAGCACGCCUACAGGAUCUAAAAAAUAGCCCCCAAAGGGCAAAUCUAAGAGUUACUGGCCUUAAAGAGGGGGGGCUCAACACCCAAGUACAAAAAGGUUAGAGAACACCAAGUAGAUUUAAUCUAAAGAAGACUACCUUGAAUCGUUUAACAAUUAAACUCCCAAAGGUCAAGGAUAAAGAAAGGAUACUAAAAGAACCAAGAGAAAAGAAACAAGUAACAUACACUAGAGCUCCAGUACACCUGGUAGCAGACUUUUCAGUGGAAACCUUACACACCAGGAGAGUGACAUGGCAUAUUUAAAGUGCUAAAGGGUGGAAAAAAAGCCUUUUACCCUGGA